RNAcentral lists this ribosomal RNA (563 nucleotides) under uncultured bacterium. Its description in RNAcentral is "bacterial SSU rRNA". It matches the Rfam family "Bacterial small subunit ribosomal RNA", at positions 338 to 917 of the family's 1533-position model. The record is from RNAcentral.
CCUACGGGAGGCAGCAGUGGGGAAUCUUGCGCAAUGGGGCGAAAGCCUGACGCAGCAACGCCGCGUGCGGGAAGAAGGCUCUCGGGUUGUAAACCGCUUUCAGCAGGAACGAAAAUGACGGUACUUGCAGAAGAAGGUGCGGCCAACUACGUGCCAGCAGCCGCGGUGACACGGUAGGCACCAAGCGUUGUCCGGAUUUAUUGGGCGUAAAGAGCUCGUAGGCGGUUCGGUAAGUCAGGUGUGAAAACUUUGGGCUCAACCCAAAGCCUGCAUCUGAUACUGCUGUGACUAGAGUUCGGUAGGGGAGCGGGGAAUUCCUAGUGUAGCGGUGAAAUGCGCAGAUAUUAGGAGGAACACCGGUGGCGAAGGCGCCGCUCUGGGCCGAAACUGACGCUGAGGAGCGAAAGCGUGGGUAGCAAACAGGAUUAGAUACCCUGGUAGUCCACGCCGUAAACGUUGGGCACUAGGUGUGGGUUUCAACCAACGAAAUCCGCGCCGUCGCUAACGCAUUAAGUGCCCCGCUGGGGAUCGGCCGCAAGGUUAAACUCAAAUGAAUUAGACGG